CAAAAUCUGUGCUCACGGGUAGCUCUUGCCUGUCUCAGAGCUGCCAACAGCAUGCGGGCUAGCACCGCCGGCCAUGGCUUCCACCCACGCCUCUUCGGCUGAGUUGAUGUGUGCAGCUGCCCAGUCCUAGCUGCAGGCAAGUGCUUAGAUGACGUAGCUGCCAUGUCGUGGGUGGAAUAUAUUGUUACAUAGAGAAGCUGAAGUCUUCGGGAACAAUACCAAGAUCUGUGACUGCUGCCACCCGCUCACCUUCAGGUUGGAGAGUUUGUCUAGGGGACACCUGCCGGCGCCUUGUUUUCACGGCCCUUUCGGCCAAGCACUCACUCACCAUUUCG
Mauremys mutica (yellowpond turtle) is the source of this 335-nucleotide long non-coding RNA. RefSeq lists it as uncharacterized. Lineage: Eukaryota; Metazoa; Chordata; Testudines; Geoemydidae. The record is from RefSeq and is a predicted model, not a curated record. The transcript is spliced from 3 exons.